GGGGAUGUAACUCAGGAGUAGAGUGCAUGCUCCUCAUGUAUGAGGUCCUGGGUUCAAUCCCCACCAUCUCCA
This 72-nucleotide transfer RNA is filed under the name Lepisosteus oculatus (spotted gar). It matches the Rfam family "tRNA". From Rfam's summary of the family: Transfer RNA (tRNA) molecules are approximately 80 nucleotides in length. Their secondary structure includes four short double-helical elements and three loops (D, anti-codon, and T loops). The record is from Rfam by way of RNAcentral. Lineage: Eukaryota; Metazoa; Chordata; Actinopteri; Semionotiformes; Lepisosteidae.